AUUGAACGCUGGCGGCAGGCCUAACACAUGCAAGUCGAGCGGAUGAGUGGAGCUUGCUCCAUGAUUCAGCGGCGGACGGGUGAGUAAUGCCUAGGAAUCUGCCUGGUAGUGGGGGACAACGUUUCGAAAGGAACGCUAAUACCGCAUACGUCCUACGGGAGAAAGUGGGGGAUCUUCGGACCUCACGCUAUCAGAUGAGCCUAGGUCGGAUUAGCUAGUUGGUGAGGUAAAGACUCACCAAGGCGACGAUCCGUAACUGGUCUGAGAGGAUGAUCAGUCACACUGGAGCUGAGACACGGUCCAGACUCCUACGGGAGGCAGCAGUGGGGAAUAUUGGACAAUGGGCGAAAGCCUGAUCCAGCCGUGCCGCGUGUGUGAAGAAGGUCUUCGGAUUGUAAAGCACUUUAAGUUGGGAGGAAGGGCAGUAAGUUAAUACCUUGCUGUUUUGACGUUACCAACAGAAUAAGCACCGGCUAACUUCGUG
This 484-nucleotide ribosomal RNA is filed under the name uncultured bacterium. Its description in RNAcentral is "partial 16S ribosomal RNA". It matches the Rfam family "Bacterial small subunit ribosomal RNA", at positions 30 to 507 of the family's 1533-position model. The record is from RNAcentral.